GAACACAAAAUGGCGACACGUGGUUAGCAUUCGUCGCCAACGAGAAAUUGGGGUCGGCCCGAAAGCUCUAGAAUGCACCCCUCUUCCUCCCCGGGGCCUUCCACCUCCGCGAGUUUUAUGACUUAAAAAAGCCCACAGGCUGGUCUGAAGGUCGGAGGCCUAAUUUUAACGCGUUUUCCUCCCUUUAAUUUGAAACGGGAACGCGAAUGACUGUAAAAUGUGGGCACAAUAUUUAAUCUCUCGCCUUUUUAAAGCUUAAUAGUGGAUAAUAGGGGGGCAGUAUCAAGGGAUAAUUUGGGUCCCCACAGUACCAAAGCAUUUAGAAACCUCUGUUUAAUUUAAGGAAUGAGAUAAGUUACUGCUUUUCUAGACUUCCUAGCAUGGGCUGUUGUGCUGGAGAGAACGAGAGCUACGAAGAGACUACAGUGCCUCUGACUUUUUCAUAGGACAGUUGGCCGAGGAAGACAAACAUAAAGAUGAAGUGCUUAAUUCAAGGUCACACAAUGUCGGGGAUGGACCUCCAGAUUUCCUUACUGGUGGAGUCUCACUCUGUAGCCCAAGCUGGAGUGGCGUGAUCUCGACUCACUGCAACCUCCGCCUCCUGGGAUCAAGUGAUUCUCGUGCCUCAGCCUCCUGAGUAGCCGGGACUACAGGUACGCACU
RNAcentral lists this long non-coding RNA (662 nucleotides) under Homo sapiens (human). Its description in RNAcentral is "PCBP1 antisense RNA 1". The record is from RNAcentral. Lineage: Eukaryota; Metazoa; Chordata; Mammalia; Primates; Hominidae.